This 500-nucleotide ribosomal RNA is filed under the name uncultured Glomeromycotina. RNAcentral's name for it is "partial small subunit ribosomal RNA". It matches the Rfam family "Eukaryotic small subunit ribosomal RNA", at positions 591 to 1092 of the family's 1831-position model. The record is from RNAcentral. Lineage: Eukaryota; Fungi; Glomeromycota.
CCAAUAGCGUAUAUUAAAGUUGUUGCAGUUAAAAAGCUCGUAGUUGAAUUUCGGCGUUUGUCGGUUGGUCAUGCCUCUGGUAUGUACUGGUCUCACUGAUUCCUCCUUCCUGAUGAGCCGUAAUGCCAUUAAUUUGGUGUUGCGGGGAAUGUGGACUGUUACUUGGAAAAAAUUAGCGUGUUUAAAGCAAGCUAACGCUUGAAUACAUUAGCAUGGAAUAAUGAAAUAGGACGUUCGAUCCUAUUUUGUUGGUUUCUAGGAUUGACGUAAUGAUUAAUAGGGAUAGUUGGGGGCAUUAGUAUUCAAUUGUCAGAGGUGAAAUUCUUGGAUUUAUUGAAGACUAACUACUGCGAAAGCAUUUGCCAAGGAUGUUUUCAUUAAUCAAGAACGAAAGUUAGGGGAUCGAAGACGAUCAGAUACCGUCGUAGUCUUAACCAUAAACUAUGCCGACUAGGGAUCGGAUGAUGUUGAUUUUUUAAUGACUCAUUCGGCGCCUUACG